Molecule: ribosomal RNA, 419 nt
Filed under: bacterium
Lineage: Bacteria
Description: partial 16S ribosomal RNA
Rfam family: Bacterial small subunit ribosomal RNA
Source: RNAcentral
UGGGGGAUAUUGCACAAUGGGCGCAAGCCUGAUGCAGCGACGCCGCGUGGGGGAUGAAGGCCUUCGGGUUGUAAACAUCUUUUGCUCUGAACAAGGCGCACUUUGGGGUGUGUUGAGUGUAGGGGUUGAUUAGCGCCGGCUAACUACGUGCCAGCAGCCGCGGUAAUACGUAGGGCGCGAGCGUUGUCCGGAAUUAUUGGGCGUAAAGGGCUUGUAGGUGGCUGGUUGCGUCUGUCGUGAAAGCUCAUGGCUUAACUGUGGGUUUGCGGUGGGUACGGGCUGGCUUGAGUGCAGUAGGGGAGGCUGGAAUUCCUGGUGUAGCGGUGGAAUGCGCAGAUAUCAGGAGGAAUACCGGUGGCGAAGGCGGGUCUCUGGGCUGUUACUGACACUGAGGAGCGAAAGCAUGGGGAGCGAACAGG